Chenopodium quinoa (quinoa) is the source of this 2813-nucleotide long non-coding RNA. RefSeq lists it as uncharacterized. The record is from RefSeq and is a predicted model, not a curated record. Lineage: Eukaryota; Viridiplantae; Streptophyta; Magnoliopsida; Caryophyllales; Amaranthaceae. The transcript is spliced from 3 exons.
AUCAACGGGUUCGGAUCUUAUACGGUGUGACGUUAUUUGGAUCGGUUCGGUUCAGGUUCAUUCGCAUACGGUUUGGGUCAAUUUUCUAUUUCAAAAAAACGAUUUUUAAUCGGCUCGGUUCUCAUUUGGGUCGGUUUAUUUCGGAAAGUUUAACAGUUUCGAUUUGAAAUUUCACAGCACUAAUUGUGACACAAAUAAAAAUAGAAAGUAUAUCAAAUAAUAUGGGACAAAGGGAGUAAUUAGAAAAAACACCCCUAACAUUUUACAAAAAAAAGACCUCUCAUAUCUCAUUAAAAAAAAAUAAUAAUAAUAAUAAAAAAAAAAAGUAACCCCUCCACUCUUUGUAGAACUUGUUAUGUACACUCGAUUCUAUACAACAAAUUUUAUGUCUCAUCUAUCAAAUAUUUUAGCUCUUUCUCUCAAGAAAUUCAACCCCUCCUACUUUCUCCAUGGCCACCUCUCGGUCCACCCAGGAGGACACUAUUAAGCAAUUAUAAGAUUUUAAAAUCUUAGUGGUUCUCCUCAUCCAAAUCAUCCCAAUACUUCACUCAUAAGAAGUUCUGCUAAUGAGGUUAGUAAUGUGGUCCAAAAAUUGAUCUUGAAAUUUUCAAUUUUGAUUCUAUGUAUUUUAAUUGGGUUCUUUCGUUGUCAAUUAGAUAUGAUAGUGUCAAUUAAAGUUUUAUGGUUGUAAUUAAAUAUAUGUAUAACAGUUGAUUUUGGAUUGUUUGAAUCAAUUAUAUUCAAUAUUAAUCUCGAUUAAUAGUUUACUAGAAAAAAUGAGAAUGAUUUUGUUAGGCAUGAAUUGAUUAAUAAGACUAUGAUUUGUUUUAUGGUAUGAGAAUGGUGUAUUAUAUGAAGCUGGAUGUUUCUAGAGUGUUGCUUGUGUUGGUGCCAUUAGCUUUGAUGAAGAGUGCUAUUUGAGAAUAGAAAUUUAGGUUUGAUCUGCUAACUAUCAAUUUAUCAUCAAUUUAAUUUGUAUGUCCUUAGAAAUAUAACCUUAAUUUUUACACCAAUUUGAUAUGGCACAAAAUCUCCACUAUCUAAACAUCAACCAAAUUAUUAGUUUUCUGACUGAGUAAUGAACAGCAACACUUAUGCUGAUGAGCGUACACCAAUUUACGCAUCUUGUCCUUAAUCAUCAGUCUACCCUUCAUAGCAAACCGAAGCACGAGCCUAUGUGUAGGGACUGUCAAUGUGAACCAAACUGCUGCUAUCCGAGAAACAUUCUGCUACAUCCCAGCUUGAAGAUUUGGUGUACGGAAAAAAAGAUGGAGGAUAUUAUCAAUCAUUCCCAGCUUUCUGUUGGAAAACCAAAAGAAACUUGUUGCAGCUACUAUGGCUAUGCGAUGCAUAACUAUAUAAGAAGACACGCACUUAAAGAUUUGGAAUUUGAUAAAUGUGAUGCAGGUCCUUAUUAUAUUCCUGCAGUUGAAGGAGAUGAGGAAAUUGGAGGCAACUCAGUAACUACUUUAGAAGAACAUGAUGGUUUGAUGGAUGUUUAGAAGACCACAAUGUUGCUGAAUCUAAAAAUGAAGUGAAAAAUCUGGUUUCUGAUGUUGCUGUUUCUGAACCCAAAUUGGGUGAUUUGGAAGAGAAAAUUAUUAGUUUCGCAGAAAAAAGGUAGGAAGUGUUGAUGAUAUGAAAUUAACUCUGUUGAAAUUGAUGGUUAAAAGAAGUGAAAAUAACCCAAAUGAAAUUUAUUUGGAUAUUUGGAUUAGCUUGGUUGGUUGUGGUGGAUUUGAUGGUGUUGAUGUGUUUCGCAAGAGUAAGAAGGCUUUUACAAAGGCUAUUGCUACAUAUAGGAUAAGAAAAUCUGCAGCCGUAAUGAAAGGAGAGAGCUUCUUUAGACCAUCUCAGAUAAAUGGUUAUAUGAUAGUUGGUAUUGUUGAGUCUAGGGAGGAGAGGGAGAAGACUCCAUCACCUAGAAGGAAUCCGAAGGUGAACAGCUCGGUAAGAUUGAAUUUGGAGGUGAGUUCAGUGGUAGGAUAUGCAAAACAGGGAGGAAAGUGUGUUUGCUGUGACUGGUGAAAGAAAAGCAAAGAAGAGUAAGGUGUCUAGUUGUGCUUCAGAGUUUGCUAAGCAAGAGGAUGUCAAAGAGGAAGGGACAAGGACAACAUUAAGGCGAUCGCAACGACUCCGGGCGCUAAAUGAAUUGUAUCUCCCAGAAGCUGAAAACAGCAUUUUGGUGGCUAUGUCCAACCUUAAGCAUUACUAGAAGCAGCAUAUUUCAGUGCUUUCCUGCUUAAAUUAACUUUAGAUAGUCUAACUACACAACAUUUGCAAAGUUAGGCCUUUUUUCUUUUUUUUUUUUUUUUUUGGGUAGAAAGUUGGUAUUAAUCUGUACUUGAUUAUGAUCAUAUUUGAUAUACUUUUAUGAAGUAAAAGUGGAAUAAUUUUAGAUUUUUAGGGCUAUUUUUCAUUAUUCUUGUUAUGAUGGUGACUAACCUAUGUUUGCCUUUUCCUUUAAAUUUGUGCAUUGGCCUAAUAAUCUUAUCCUUGUGACUUUUUUUUUAAAAAAAAAUUAUUAUUUUUUUAAUCUUUUGGACCACAAUUAAAGUUGCCUUAAAAUUGGCUUUUUGUUGUGGAUAAUGUUCAUGUCAACGGAGGGGCAUAUUUAUAGAUUAAUUUUGUUAUGAAAAGUUGGGAUGAAUUGGAAUCCAUUUUCCCAAAAAAAUAAAAAUAAAAAAGGUAAGUCUUCCUACUUGUAUACUGUGUCCGCACCAUGUUUCCUGGUAGUUUAGCAAGAAUAUGUUUUAUAAUAACCGAUGCAUGUUACACGUUUUUAAGAACUUCGGUUGAUAUAAUACAUAUUA